Molecule: ribosomal RNA, 497 nt
Filed under: uncultured bacterium
Lineage: Bacteria
Description: partial 16S ribosomal RNA
Rfam family: Bacterial small subunit ribosomal RNA
Source: RNAcentral
GAUGAACGCUGGCGGCGUGCCUAAUACAUGCAAGCCGAGCGAACAGACGAGGAGCUUGCUCCUUUGACGUUAGCGGCGGACGGGUGAGUAACACGUGGGUAACCUACCUAUAAGACUGGGAUAACUUCGGGAAACCGGAGCUAAUACCGGAUAAUAUUUCGAACCGCAUGGUUCGAUAGUGAAAGAUGGCUCUGCUAUCACUUAUAGAUGGACCUGCGCCGUAUUAGCUAGUUGGUAAGGUAACGGCUUACCAAGGCAACGAUACGUAGCCGACCUGAGAGGGUGAUCGGCCACACUGGAACUGAGACACGGUCCAGACUCCUACGGGAGGCAGCAGUAGGGAAUCUUCCGCAAUGGGCGAAAGCCUGACGGAGCAACGCCGCGUGAGUGAUGAAGGUCUUCGGAUCGUAAAACUCUGUUAUUAGGGAAGAGCAAACGUGUAAGUAACUGUGCACGUCUUGACGGUACCUAAUCAGAAAGCCACGGCUAACUACGUG